RNAcentral lists this unclassified non-coding RNA (252 nucleotides) under Glomus sp. Its description in RNAcentral is "partial contains 5.8S ribosomal RNA and internal transcribed spacer 2". The stretch from base 1 to 65 matches the Rfam family "5.8S ribosomal RNA", at positions 84 to 154 of the family's 154-position model. The record is from RNAcentral. Lineage: Eukaryota; Fungi; Glomeromycota; Glomeromycetes; Glomerales; Glomeraceae.
GUGAAUCAUCAAAUCUUUGAACGCAAAUUGCACUCUCUUCUGAGAGUAUGCCUGUUUGUGGGUGAGCCUAAAUAAAAAUCGACUUUGUUGCUGUUUUGUGGUGACAUUCGUAGGAAAUUGGGUCAUCUUUAACCUUUGGGUUUUAUACGUCUUAAAAUUUUCUUUAUGAUUACACGUAAGUUUUUAAGUUUUUGAUUCUUAUAUGUUUUAGGUAUCGAUCUUUAUUACAUGCAGCUGUUGUAUCGAAUCAAG